Molecule: non-coding RNA, 73 nt
Organism: Ameiurus melas (black bullhead)
Lineage: Eukaryota; Metazoa; Chordata; Actinopteri; Siluriformes; Ictaluridae
Source: the annotation of a GenBank genome assembly
GUGGUGGUAGCUCAGUGGUUAAGGCAUUGGACUUCCAAUUGGAAAGUUGAGAGUUCAAAUCCCACUGGGCUCU